GAUGAAGAACGCAGCGAAAUGCGAUACGUAAUGUGAAUUGCAGAAUUCAGUGAAUCAUCGAAUCUUUGAACGCACAUUGCGCCCGCCAGCACUCUGGCGGGCAUGCCUGUACGAGCGUCAUUUCAACCAUCAAGCCCCAGGCUUGCGUUGGAGCCCUGCGGCUGCCGCAGCCUCCUAAAAGCAGUGGCGGGCUCGCUAUCACACCGAGUGCAGUAGAUUACUCUUCGCUCAGGGCGUGCAGCGGGUUCCGGCCGUGAAACCCCCUACUUUUAAAGGUUGACCUCGGAUCAGGUAGGAAUACCCGCUGAACUUAAGCAUAUCAAUAAGCGGAGGA
This 334-nucleotide unclassified non-coding RNA is filed under the name soil metagenome. RNAcentral describes it as "partial contains 5.8S ribosomal RNA, internal transcribed spacer 2, and large subunit ribosomal RNA". The stretch from base 1 to 120 matches the Rfam family "5.8S ribosomal RNA", at positions 35 to 154 of the family's 154-position model. The record is from RNAcentral.